This 628-nucleotide long non-coding RNA is filed under the name Mus caroli (Ryukyu mouse). Its description in RNAcentral is "predicted gene 15591 (MGP_CAROLIEiJ_G0002974.1)". The record is from RNAcentral. Lineage: Eukaryota; Metazoa; Chordata; Mammalia; Rodentia; Muridae.
GUCUCAUGCAUUUGGCAGGAUGUUUUAGAAAGAGGAAUGAGAAAAGGAAACCUUAAAACAAGAGACCAAGCAAUAGGGCAGCAAAGACAAAAGCCAAGUCACUCUAGUAAGGUAGAGGAAGAUGGUGAAUAAGUACAGAGAGAGAAAAGGCAGAAGAUAGGAAGUACUCCCCGGGAUGGCCAAAUGGCUCAUGACUUACCUCAACAGGAAGUGCAUGAUAUUGUGUCACCAAUCCAUCUGCAGCAGUAGCUAUACCAAUAAGAGCUAUGACUUUUUCCGGCCGUGCAAUUGCAGCAUGCAACAUGAGCCAUCCACCAAGACUGGAUCCAACCAGUAUCUAAAAACAAGUAUGCAUGACUUCAAAGAGGACUCUCAUACUCAAUAAAGAGAAUGAUUUAAUAGAAAUAUAUGGACUUUGUAUCUUUUAUAUCCUUGCAGAACCCAGACUUUUAAUAUGUAACACAAAGUAAAAGUCAAUUUAACUAACUUGUUUGUUUGUUUGUUUGAGUCAGGUUUCUACUGUGUUGUCCUGGAACUCUUUUUGUAGACUAGGUUCAUCUUGAACUCAGCAUCUGUCCCUGUAUCCCAAUAUAAUUAACUUCUGUAAAGUCAUUAUGUCUAUAAUAUA